Molecule: long non-coding RNA, 5646 nt
Organism: Tympanuchus pallidicinctus (lesser prairie-chicken)
Lineage: Eukaryota; Metazoa; Chordata; Aves; Galliformes; Phasianidae
Exons: 3
Source: RefSeq, a predicted model, not a curated record
UCCCAUUUUUGGCUACAAGAGCUCUGAGGUUUCAAGCUGAAGAUGAGAAACUUGCACUUUUGUGGUUUGGGGUGUAAGAAUAUGAAAACCAGGGGAUUUUCACCCUGACCCCAAAUCCCGCAGCGUUCCAGCACGUCUGCUUAUCCCGGCAGUGUUUAUGUCGGAUCUGAGCCACCAAAUACCAGGCCACCUCCUUUUUCUAGCUUUUAUUUUUAUUUUUCUGGUUGGUUCUGCUGCCCGCUGGAUCUUGCAGAGUAACAGUUGAAGACAGAAAUGCCCGAGAGCGAAAAAAGAGCUUUGCUGGGUGCACAUGGUGUUGAUUCAGCCUUGAGAUGAUGUGUAGAUGACACCCAAAGCCUCAGUGGGAUAAUCUGCCAUCUUUGAACAUCCAACUCUUCGCUUGGAAAGACCAACGUUUAAUAAUUGUUCCACAUCUCCCCAAAUUGUUUUUCCUCUCCCAUUGUCUGCAUUGCCACAUCUUUUGGGAGAAGGAAUUUUUCUUGUUCUCCCCAAGCUGGACUCACAGAGACAUCAUGAAUUACAGCGCUCCCUCACUUUGAUGUCUCUGAUGCUUUGGGCUAAGUUUCUGGGAAACAGUGCUUAAGGCACGGGGAAGUGGAGAGCUGGGAAAAGGACACAGCAGUCCUUGAAGACAAACACAAUUAUGGGUGAGAAGCCUCUCCUUAGAAUGACUCAGAGCACUUUGAUUCUCUCUGCUGGCUCCGGAUGCUGAGCUGCCCACAUCCUACCAGGACAGGCCUAGGACAUGUCCUGCACACUGCACCUCACCCCAGCAAAAGAAUGGUCUGGUAGCGGGAGAUGCUCCAGCUCUCAUCAGGAAACAGGUUUAUGGCCACAGCUUGGAGGAGGACUCAUAGCCCUGGGGCCAAGGUAGGCAGACAGAAGCCUAGUAGAAGUUCAGCAUUGCACAGCAAGCAACUGCCCAAAGCAGGGAAGGCUGAGGACAUAAGUGUCACCCUGCUGGGAAGGCUGAUGGGCUUGAACCUUGGUUCAAAUGAGACAAGUGCAUGGUGCAAGGCUGAUGGUGCACCAGCUGCUGGAAUCCUCUUGCUUUCGGAGCUCAUUGCUCAAAGCUCAUUGCUCAAAGCCCUGCUGCUCCCUUCCAGACUUGCUUUCAAAGCGCUUUCCUCUCUUAUACAUAUUUCUCAAUAAGGAUAUAGAAAUAAAUUACGUGCAGAAAAAAAAAAAAAACAGCUUGCCUUGUUCAGGCCUAUUCGUUCCCAAUGGUUUUGUCCCAGAAUAAACACAGACAUGUUUUGAAGCUUGUUGUGAAAGGAGAUUAACUCUAAAAUCUACUUCCUGGCUUUGAAGACUGCAGAUCAGCAUGGCUUUUAUUAUUAACCGGUCAUUAGAGUGAGUGACAUAUAGAAGGAAUAAUUGCUUGGCUUGUUUCAGAGUUGAAGGAUGUUAAUUAAGAAGUUAAAUGUUUGUUUUCCUUGCUUGGAACAAAGCACUCCUAGGGUUUGCACUGAGGGGGUGUUCUCCACCCCAGAGGCAGGUCCAGGUUUUGGGAGUGGGAGUGGUUAUGCAGCCCCAAUGCAGCCACAUCAUGGGUCCUUCGCUGUCCUGUCAUCUGCAUCCAUGGGCAAGGUCCCACAGAAUGCAGAGUGGAAAUGUAAUGGCCCUAAGGGAGGGUCAGGUUGGAUAUUAGGAACAAUUUAUUCUCCAAAGGAGUGGUGAUGCACUGGCACACACUGCCCAGCGAGUGGUGGGGUCACCCUGGAGGUGUUCCAGAACCGUGAGGAUGUGGCACUGAGGGACGUGGUCAUGGGCAUGGUGGGGAUGGAUUGACAGCUGGACUUGAUCUUAGAGGUCUUUUCCACCCUUAAUGUUUCUAUUUUGGGAGCUUAGAUGGGAAAGAUUCUGCUGUGAGAUGGGCGGGGAGAAAGUCAUGCUGCAGAGCUUGGCAAGACCAAGGAGAGAGCACUGGUGGUGUGACAACACAAUGCACAUGGCUGCUGCAAUGGCCAUCACAUCCAGACCCAUCACAACGGCUCCUGCUUUGCCCCUCUCUCUUUGCAAGCUUUGCUGCAUCCCAGGCAGACAGCGCUGCUCUUUUUGCAGCCCUCCAGCUCCAAGGUUUGGCACCAACAGAGGUCAAAGGAGGAACACACUGAGCAGCAGAGGAUUGGCUUUGCAGCAGCGCGGUGCACACAGGGAGCAAACUGAGCAGCAGCCCUGAGGGUUUGUGAGGCUCUCAGGUUCUGCAGAGCCCUGGGGCUGUUUGCUCGCAGGAAGUAAUGACAAGAGGCACGUCUGCAGAGCUCAGAGCUCUGAGAAGGCCGCGUUAUAUAAUGCCGCCUGCGCUGUCAGGCACUGCGCCAGUGGGGUAAGGAGAGACUCAGUGACCUUUUGGUGGUGACACAUGGGGAGAGCUGUGUGACUAAAUCCAGCUCUGCUGUGCUCCUGCCCGCAGACGUUAUAUAUGUGAAAGGCAUUUGCAUUUUACUUGGAAAAUAUAUCCUGCAAAGGGGAAAGAGACAACACACUGCAGCCCGGCAGCUGUGCUUGGCCCCCUUCUGUGUUGCUGGUGCUGCUGCAUGUGAAGGUGCAGGCUCUGGGAAAUGGCCAUAGGCUGGGAGGUGAGCACAGAAGAGUGAUGCCUCCAGUGGCCAUGCUGCUCUCCAUAGAAUGGAAUGGAAUGGAAUGGAAUGGAAUGGAAUGGAGUGGAAUGGAAUGGAGUGGAAUACUGUAGUUAGAGUUGGAAGGUACUUUUAGACUAUCUAGCCCAACUCCCCUGCAAUGAGCAUCAACAUCUACAGCUCAAUCAGUCUGCUCAGAGUCCAGUCCAGCCUGACCUUAAGCUCAAGGAUAGGGGACUCACUGUGAUGCAAUCCCCUAUGUCAUCCAACUCUGUGAUACUUGUUAACAAAGGAGGAAAUGGAGCAAGGAAGAAAACUUACUGGGGUUGAACAUUGGAAAAUGGGCCAUGACGUGGUUUAGAACAAAAGCAGUGUCAUGGAUUUCAUCACAGCAUCUGUAUCCUUAUUUUGGUGGCAUGUACACAGAGAUGCAUGGCACUGGUACCAUGUAUUGAUAGUACUGGUAAACCCCAUAGCUCUGAUAUCUUUCUUUUCUGCAGUACACUGAUCCUGGAAAUCCUAUGCUGCAUUACGAGUACAGCGUAUUGACCUGGUUACUGGGAUGCUUGUGGUAUAUGCAAGACAGCAAACAAAGAAAGGUAGGAAACUAACAAGAUGCCCUGCAGCAAAGCUUGGUGGUUGCUGCAGGAUAGUGGGAAAUCCCUCUGACACUCUGUGUAGAGCCCACCAGAUGGGGUGCAGGCCAGAAAUGUGCCUCCAUGAGUACAAAUCCUGCACCCUGAAGGCACUGUGGCUGCUGUCACUGUGUUGUCCCUAUGCCACUGGGUUGGUGCACAAUGAGCCCACAGCCUCUGAACACCCAGAGCUUGUCAUCCCCUAAAAGUUCAGUGGGGUGGGGAAGUGGAAAAGCCAGCUGGGAAUGCUGUGAGAUAAGGAAUGGGAAGGGUUCCCAGUGAUUCUGGCAGGUGUUUUUGGGUACUCCAAGCUUUCUCUUACAAAAAUAAAGCUUCCAGUUGAAGCCAUUCUCAGCACAAAGAGCAGAAAUAGACUCCACUCCAGGCAAGCAGGAAGAAGUAGAAAAUAAACUCAUGCUAAGAUAGACCCUAAUCCUUUUCUGGAGGGAACCAUGCACCCCGCUCCCCCUGGCAAUAAGGCACAGGACGUGGGAUCCAUUUUGAGUCUGGUGAGCUGCAUUCCCAGGUGGGAGCACACACUUUCCCAGUGACUUAAAUUUCUGCACUCCUGUCUUUAUUUUCUCUUUAAAUCAUCUAAAAAAUGGAGUCGCAUCCCUUGGUGAAGAGACACGGGAGUUCUUCAGCUGAGGUUGCUGAGCAAUUGAUAGCGGUUUCUGCAGUCAUCACUGCAAUCAUCCAUGGCUAUGGAUGCCAUGCAAUGGGUUCUCUGAGGCUCUAAGUGCAUUCAGGUGCUCAAACAUAGGAAUUUUCAAACACUGCAGUGAAUGGCUGUGGAGGGAAUGUAAAGGUCAGGGCAUGAUCCUGAAGCUAAUCUCAGAAUGGCAGCUGCACCCAGGGCUGGGCAUGGAUUAGAAGCAAUGGAAACUCUGAGCCUGCUGCCUGAUUUAUCCGGGCAGGAAUUUACUGCAGCUGGGCUGGGGCUACAUUGCCUUUCCUGACCGCACUGUGUGUGAGCAGGCUGAGUGCUCCAAACUGCCUCUGAAGUGCUGUGCACCCCACCUGCACCAGGAUGGCACGGCAAGGUUGGAAUUCUGCUUACACAGCCAAAAGCGCCACCAAAUUUGCAGAAAUGCACUACUCUUCCCUCACUCACAACCCACCAGUUCUCACUUUUCCUCCUUGCUGCCCAAACAUUGCAAACAAGUGCCUUUCUGGUGCGAUUGUGUGCCUACAGCACCAGGUGCUCGUCCCUGCUGAAUUGAGGUCUGUUUGUUCAGACCGUUGCUCCAAUUUGCCAAGAUCGUUCUGAAUCCAAACCCCGUGUUCCAACACGCCUGCAGUUUCUCCCAGGGGGUGUCAUCUCCCAGAUUCUCCUCUGUCAUGCUGAUCACGUUAACCUGUUCAAGCAAGCAUGGCCCAUAGCAGUAAUACCAUCCUGCACUUGAAAAGGACCAUGUCUUGAGCGCAGUAUGGCAGCGUUCCUGCUCCCAGGUUGCAAGCAGAUGCUCAAACAGUACAGAACCAUAAAUCUUUCAGUGAUUUCUGAAGUCUGUUCUCUUUGAAGAUCCUCCUGGUGCUUGCAAUCCGUGUACAUGUGCAUCUGUGAAAGGAGCUGUCUGAGGUUUUUAUUUGUAGGACUGCGACUGUCCUUUGCAAAAAAGCACAAAGCAAGCCAAGCUUCCUUGCCAAAGAUGCUGGUAUAGCUGCUUUUGGGAUGCUGGCCAACAAGCAGAAAUAGUGCCAUUGAUUUCAGCAAACCAGUCGUGCACCUUGCCUGGCACACACCUUGUGAAUAAGCAUGGAAAAAUGUUGCGGACGACACAAGAGCCACGUUCUGUUUGCACAAAACAUUUGGCAAACAAAUGAAGAGGGAAGAAAGUCACACCAACUGCUCUGUGUUCAUGAUGCGGAAAAAGAGGGGGAAAAAAAGGGGUUGAUUUUGUCAUAAGCUGCACGUACCCUUGUUUGCCUGGCUAAUGGGGGUAAAAAUGUAUGUGGAACAGUGCUGACAGUUUGCUGUCCCCAGAGGUGAGCAUCUGCUCACUGCCAUGUCCAAUGGGGACAACCCAGGGUGUGGGUGCAGGCUUCCCUCGUCCUCCCUGGGUGACACUGAGUCACAUCUGCUCUGUAGCUGUCCUGACGCUGCAGUGGCACAGCUAUGUUUGCCACGAUGGCUUCUCUGCCCAGGGGUGACAUAUGGAAUGAAACUUUGAAUGGAAGUUGCUCUUUGUCAAGGCAGUCAGUGCAGCCUCAGAACAAGAUGUAUCCAGGAGAACUCUGUAGCCACAGCAGUAAAUAGCAAGCCAACAUUUUUAUCAUUUUAAGAAUGUGGAAUUCAAAAAGGGCAAUAAACCUCAAGCUCUUCUUUUUGCCUUAUGUAGGCUCUGCCUUGUGAAUCACAGCCAGAUGUGCCAGAACACACGGUCUGAGGGUCAGGGGAGGAUCAC